CAAGUUUCUUUGAAGGUUUGCGGUGUUCUUGAGUUUUCUCGCGGAGUUUCGCACAGUUUUUCCGAUUGAUCGCUGACUCAAUCGUAGCUUAAGUAAGUGUUGUUCGCCGCAUUCUGUGAUUCGCUGAGUUUCAUGAGAAAAAUGAGAAGCAAUCGCUCAAGUCCAGUUGCGCCCGUCGCUGCUGAAGGCGCCGCUGCCAUGACCAUGGCGCAGAUGGCAG
RNAcentral lists this long non-coding RNA (220 nucleotides) under Phaseolus vulgaris (common bean). Its description in RNAcentral is "long non-coding RNA (PVUL_LNC002188)". Lineage: Eukaryota; Viridiplantae; Streptophyta; Magnoliopsida; Fabales; Fabaceae. The record is from RNAcentral.